Molecule: long non-coding RNA, 135 nt
Filed under: Cricetulus griseus (Chinese hamster)
Lineage: Eukaryota; Metazoa; Chordata; Mammalia; Rodentia; Cricetidae
Description: lncRNA (ENSCGRG00000024173.1)
Source: RNAcentral
CAUCUCGGGAUGUCAUCCUCCUCCUGGGGACAGUGCAGGACACACUGGAAGGAUCUCUUAUCAGACACUCUUUCUCCACUAGAAUUGACCACAAACCAGCGAGAAGCAGUGAAAGAAAUGAUAACAUAAGAAAAG